Camelus ferus (Wild Bactrian camel) is the source of this 72-nucleotide transfer RNA. It matches the Rfam family "tRNA". Rfam says of the family: Transfer RNA (tRNA) molecules are approximately 80 nucleotides in length. Their secondary structure includes four short double-helical elements and three loops (D, anti-codon, and T loops). The record is from Rfam. NCBI's taxonomy places the organism in Eukaryota, Metazoa, Chordata, Mammalia, Artiodactyla, Camelidae.
GAGGGUAUAGCUCAGUGGUAGGGUACAUGGUUAGCAUACAUGAGGUCCUGGGUUCAAUCCCUAGCACCUCCA